AGUGUGGUGCCCAGCCAACCAGCUAUACCUCUUUUGAAGAUUUUAAGAACUUAGCCUCCUGAACAGUCUUCUUCGAAAGUGAAAAGUGGUAACAGCUGAUGAGUAUCAAGAAAUUAUUUUCUGCAAAGGGGCAGAGUUAAUUGUAUUUGGAACCCAUGACAGCACCUACUGGGGAAAGACUUUAAGUGAGGAGAAACGGCUCUACAGGUCAUGAAACUAUGGAAAUGAGAUGGUUUUUGUCAAAGAUUCAGGAUGACUUCAGAGGUGGAAAAAUUAACCUAGAAAAAACUCAGAGGUUACUUGAAAAAUUAGAUAUUCGGUGCAGUUAUAUUCAUGUGAAACAGAUUUUUAAGGUAAGAUGACAUCCACCCCCUGCCUAUCCUAUCCUAGGUGGAACUUAAUCCAAUGUCAGUAAUUGUCAUAUAAAGGUUAGUCUCUUAAGAAGAAAAGCAAUUAAUUAUACUAACUAUAUUUACAGUCAAGAUGGAGAGCAUUUCAGUAGAAGGUAAAAUUAGUUGUUGAGAAAAUCUGAAAUAAUACCAGGAUAUCAGUUUAGAAUAAUUUCCUGAGCAUACAGAAAUGCUAACAUUAAACCUAGGAUUGGAUGUCUAAUUACAUCAGACUGAUAAUGGUAACUGUAUUAGAUGUUAGUGAUUUAUAAAAAGAGUGGAGAAUAAGCCCAAAGUUAGCAGAAGGGAGGAAAUAAUACCGAUUAGCACAGAAAUAACUAAAAUAGAAAAGAAAAAAAUCAGAAGAAAUUGAGGAAACUAAGACUUGUUUUUUUGAAAAGUUAAAUAAAAUUGACAAAUA
This 810-nucleotide small RNA is filed under the name Pan troglodytes (chimpanzee). RNAcentral describes it as "retained intron". The record is from RNAcentral. Lineage: Eukaryota; Metazoa; Chordata; Mammalia; Primates; Hominidae.